Molecule: non-coding RNA, 1807 nt
Organism: Aegilops tauschii subsp. strangulata
Lineage: Eukaryota; Viridiplantae; Streptophyta; Magnoliopsida; Poales; Poaceae
Source: RefSeq, a predicted model, not a curated record
GGUCGUUGGAAUUGCUGCCCCGCACGAGAAAGCGAGGGUUUCCUUCCCCGCCGCGACCCCAUAUCCCUCCGCUCUACGGUGCCCCUCCUCGCUCCACGGUCGCGGAAUCCGGACGAGAUCGGCAGGAUCCGCUCUCGGGCGAGGGUUUUCUCUCUAUAAGUCGCUGCCUCGACCCAUGGGAACUCCGACGAACGGUGUACAUGUCGGCAGCUGGCGGGCCGGCGGAUCGGCUCCAGCCGCGUCCACCCUCACCUCCUCGUCCAUGACCUACUCUGCCCGGACGCCCGAGGUGACCGCGUGAUAUCAGAGAAGAUACUAUUUUUUCAGAAAAAAGGAAAGUAGGAUUUGAACGCCAUCCGCGAGUCCUCCAUCUAAGAGGUACCCCAUCCUAUAAACAUGAGUACUAGAUUUUGUAUAAUCAGAUCAUGAAUAUCCUGGAAGUAGCAUGCUCCCUUGCUGUUGUAAUUCGUAUAAAUUCAUGUAGUCGGCUAUAAUAAUGAUAUUUUUUUUCUUUUGAGAGAGAAAUUGUGUGUCUGCUCUGGUUUCAGUUUUAACGUCAGCUCGUUACAAUCCGUAACUACUUAUAGACUACUUCAUCCGGAUGGGUUUGCAACUUUGUGUACAGACUGCUUCAACACUUCUAUUUUCUAUAGGACUUGGAUUAAUAAUCUCCAACAAUAUGGUCAUGCUUCUUAUAUUCACUUUCAGUUCUAAAUACAUUUGUGCUUUUCUCUAUGUUGUACUACUAAACUAUGUGUGCUAAACUGAACAUAAAAAUAUGAUGGGGUGGUGGUUUCAACCAUAGAAAGAAUUGAUUUGGAGAACAAAGGAAAUUUUCGACGGACGAAGAACUCGCUCGAGAUGCUUCAGUGAUGAUUUUAUAUAGCAUUUUAUCUAAACCGGGGUUCCUUCUUUCAGACUGGGCGGUGCCAUAUGAUGUGAAGCCGGUGUAAUAACUUUUUCAUUUGGCAUCAGUGGACAGUGGUGAUGUGGCAAUCUUUUAGACAAUUUGCCACCUGUAACACAAUGUAAAACCUCUUAUGAGCUGGUUGCCUUCUUGGUAGUUGUUGCGGCUUCUGAAUUAAGUGUACCACUAUGUUUAAAACGCCAUGAUCAGAAGCUAUGGUGGGUGUACCAAUUGUGGGUGGCUAUUCCUAAGAUUGAUUCUUAUUGGGUCAGGGGCAUGUGAUUUCGUUCUCCCGGUGCAACGCACGGGCCCUUUUUUGCUAGUAUAUAAUUCAGAAGCCGCAACAACUACCAAGAAGGCAACCAGCUCAUAUGAGGUUUUACAUUGUGUUACAGGUGGCAAAUUGUCUAAAAGAUUGCCACAUCACCACUGUCCACUGAUGCCAAAUGAAAAAGUUAUUACACCGGCUUCACAUCAUAUGGCACCGCCCAGUCUGAAAGAAGGAACCCCGGUUUAGAUAAAAUGCUAUAUAAAAUCAUGACUGAAGCAUCUCGAGCGAGUUCUUCGUCCGUCGAAAAUUUCCUUUGUUCUCCAAAUCAAUUCUUUCUAUGGCUGAAACCACCACCCCAUCAUAUUUUUAUGUUCAGUUUAGCACACAUAGUUUAGUAGUACAACAUAGAGAAAAGCACAAAUGUAUUUAGAACUGAAAGUGAAUAUAAGAAGCAUGACCAUAUUGUUGGAGAUUAUUAAUCCAAGUCCUAUAGAAAAUAGAAGUGUUGAAGCAGUCUGUACAUAAAGUUGCAAACCCAUCCGGAUGAAGUAGUCUAUAAGUAGUUACGGAUUGUAACAAGCUGACGUUAAAAUUGAAACCAGAGCAGACACACAAUUUCUCUCUCAAAA